This is a non-coding RNA of Pelobates cultripes (western spadefoot toad), 542 nucleotides long. Lineage: Eukaryota; Metazoa; Chordata; Amphibia; Anura; Pelobatidae. The record is from the annotation of a GenBank genome assembly.
CCAUAAUCUCAGUAAAUUAGAAUAUUACAUGCAAUCAAUAAAACAAGGAGUGUACAUAGAACAAUAUUGGACCUCUGAAAAGUAUAAGCAUGCAUAUGGACUCAGUACUUGGUUUGGGCCACUUUUGCAGCAAUUACUGCCUCAAUGCGGCGUGGCAUGGAUGCUAUCAGCCUGUGGCACUGCUGAGGUGUUAUGGAAGACCAGGAUGCUUCAAUAGCGGCCUUCAGCUCUUCUGCAUUGUUCAGUCUCAUGUGUCUCAUCUUUCUCUUGGCGAUGCCCCAAAGAUUCUCUAUGGGGUUCAGGUCAGGCGAGUUUGCUGGCCAAUCAAGCACAGUAAUCCCACGGUCAUUGAACCAGGCUUUGGUGCUUUUGGCAGUGUGGGCAAGUGCCAAGUCCUGCUGGAAAAUGAAAUCAGCAUCCCCAUAAAGCUCGCCUGUGGAAGGAAGCAUGAAGUGCUCCAACAUCUCCUGGUAGACGGCUGCGUUGACCCUGGACUUAAUGAAGCACAGUGGACCAACACCAGCAGAUGACAUGGCUCCCCA